UUUGAAUACAAAUAAUCAAAUCAUUGAUAAAUUUUUUGUCUACGAUUAAUGGAGGGACUUGAAUGGUGUUAAUUACCUAUCAAAUCAUUUUAUUUUUUAUUAUUAGUCUAAGUUACUAUUUAACUUUAAAUCAUUACAUGGCAGUCACUGUAGGUAACUUCACUUCAAUAUUCGGCAUGUUCGCAGCCAUACUCUUUAUGUACUACUACCUACUCUAUAAAAGUCCCGAAUACAAUCAACGCAAACGAUUUAAACAUUUCAUUCAUAUCACUAAUUUGAUAAUAAUUGCUUUUAGCACCUUCGUAUUAGUUCAUUUAGCAUUAAAAUUAUUCUUCAGCAUUUAAUUUCCAUCUAUGAAAAAAGCAAAGCUCAAAUCUGAACUUUG
RNAcentral lists this small nuclear RNA (385 nucleotides) under Staphylococcus aureus. RNAcentral's name for it is "SAUSA300s273". The record is from RNAcentral. Lineage: Bacteria; Bacillati; Bacillota; Bacilli; Caryophanales; Staphylococcaceae. RNAcentral also lists the same sequence under 1 other name.